AUGAACGCUGGCGGCGUGCCUAAUACAUGCAAGUCGAGCGAACAGACGAGGAGCUUGCUCCUCUGACGUUAGCGGCGGACGGGUGAGUAACACGUGGAUAACCUACCUAUAAGACUGGGAUAACUUCGGGAAACCGGAGCUAAUACCGGAUAAUAUAUUGAACCGCAUGGUUCAAUAGUGAAAGACGGUUUUGCUGUCACUUAUAGAUGGAUCCGCGCCGCAUUAGCUAGUUGGUAAGGUAACGGCUUACCAAGGCGACGAUGCGUAGCCGACCGGAGAGGGUUAUCGGCCACCCUGGAACUGAGACACGGUCCAGACUCCUACGGGAGGCAGCAGUAGGGAAUCUUCCGCAAUGGGCGAAAGCCUGACGGAGCAACGCCGCGUGAGUGAUGAAGGUCUUCGGAUCGUAAAACUCUGUUAUUAGGGAAGAACAAAUGUGUAAGUAACUAUGCACGUCUUGACGGUACCUAAUCAGAAAGCCACGGCUAACUACGUG
This 496-nucleotide ribosomal RNA is filed under the name uncultured bacterium. Its description in RNAcentral is "partial 16S ribosomal RNA". It matches the Rfam family "Bacterial small subunit ribosomal RNA", at positions 29 to 507 of the family's 1533-position model. The record is from RNAcentral.